CAUCAGGAGUUGUCAUCUCACAAUAGGAAUAUCUCGAGCCACUGUCGUGGCAUCAAAACUCAGGCAUUGCCCUCUCACAAUGGGAGCAUCUCGAGCAAGCGUCAGUAAGAGCCUCCGUAUUAUGCCCAGCUGAAGCGUAUGGUGGUGCUACCAUUACGGUCCAUGUUCCGGCUUCCACUCCUGUUGGACAAUGCAAGAGGGGACUAUUGGUGCCGGUUGGUAAAGGGAUAUAGGUGCUGGACAAUGCAUCGAAGAAUGUUGAUCACUGGUUACAUGUCUUAGAUCCUCGAGAUAGAAUUGUGUUUUAGAUCAAAUACGACAUCUUUGCACUUUAUCACCAUUUCUUUUGAUCCAUAGAAGCCCGGAUGAAGAAACAACCUUAUAUAUGCAACACAAUAAGAAAUUAUUAGUAGUCUACAAUUUGUAUUACUACAAGUGGAAAGUUUAGUCAUUACGAAGGAUUG
RNAcentral lists this long non-coding RNA (464 nucleotides) under Oryza brachyantha (malo sina). RNAcentral describes it as "long non-coding RNA (OBRA_LNC003314)". Lineage: Eukaryota; Viridiplantae; Streptophyta; Magnoliopsida; Poales; Poaceae. The record is from RNAcentral.